GACGAGGAGCUUGCUCCUCUGACGUUAGCGGCGGACGGGUGNUUAACACGUGGAUAACCUACCUAUAAGACUGGGAUAACUUCGGGAAACCGGAGCUAAUACCGGAUAAUAUAUUGAACCGCAUGGUUCAAUAGUGAAAGACGGUUUUGCUGUCACUUAUAGAUGGAUCCGCGCCGCAUUAGCUAGUUGGUAAGGUAACGGCUUACCAAGGCAACGAUGCGUAGCCGACCUGAGAGGGUGAUCGGCCACACUGGAACUGAGACACGGUCCAGACUCCUACGGGAGGCAGCAGUAGGGAAUCUUCCGCAAUGGGCGAAAGCCUGACGGAGCAACGCCGCGUGAGUGAUGAAGGUCUUCGGAUCGUAAAACUCUGUUAUUAGGGAAGAACAAAUGUGUAAGUAACUAUGCACGUCUUGACGGUACCUAAUCAGAAAGCCACGGCUAACUACGUGCCAGCAGCCGCGGUAAUACGUAGGUGGCAAGCGUUAUCCGGAAUUAUUGGGCGUAAAGCGCGCGUAGGCGGUUUUUUAAGUCUGAUGUGAAAGCCCACGGCUCAACCGUGGAGGGUCAUUGGAAACUGGAAAACUUGAGUGCAGAAGAGGAA
Molecule: ribosomal RNA, 604 nt
Filed under: Staphylococcus epidermidis
Lineage: Bacteria; Bacillati; Bacillota; Bacilli; Caryophanales; Staphylococcaceae
Description: bacterial SSU rRNA
Rfam family: Bacterial small subunit ribosomal RNA
Source: RNAcentral